GCCCCCGUAGCUCAGUUGGAUCAGAGCAGGCGGUUUCUACCCGUCAGGUCGCACGUUCGAGUCGUGCCGGGGGCA
RNAcentral lists this transfer RNA (75 nucleotides) under Thermoleophilia bacterium. Its description in RNAcentral is "tRNA-Arg". The record is from RNAcentral. Lineage: Bacteria; Bacillati; Actinomycetota; Thermoleophilia.